This is a non-coding RNA of Vicia faba (fava bean), 238 nucleotides long. NCBI's taxonomy places the organism in Eukaryota, Viridiplantae, Streptophyta, Magnoliopsida, Fabales, Fabaceae. The record is from the annotation of a GenBank genome assembly.
AUGCGGAUUCAAUUUGAUUUUUAAUACAUUAAUACGUUUUCAAUUAAAUAACGGUGAUAUAUUACAAAUGAUAACACAUUCAUUACUUUCAUUCGAAAUCAAACUUGUCACCACAUAUACAAAGAUGAUACAUAACCAGAAUAGAUUGAUGACUAUCUAUACCUCUUUUAUUCAACAUCAAACGUUACUGAUUCAUGAAAUUUAUUACUUAGAAUGUGCAUCAUGUUUGAUGAUAUAA